This 3665-nucleotide long non-coding RNA is filed under the name Homo sapiens (human). Its description in RNAcentral is "HSALNT0196795". Lineage: Eukaryota; Metazoa; Chordata; Mammalia; Primates; Hominidae. The record is from RNAcentral.
GCCGCAGACGGCGAAAACCAGAGGUGGUUACAGUCAAGUUUAGGGACUGCAGGAGCGAAUUCCCGAAGGCUUGCAGGAGCCGCCCGGCUCUGCCUCCAGCCUUUCUCUCUGGGCCUAGCGGGACUCUCCCAGGCAGGCCCCUCCCUGCCCGCGGGCGCACUUUCCCCGCCUGCAUCUGAGGCGUGGCGCAGCUGGGAGCAAAGCACAGGUGGGCUGGGCGCGGUUUGGGGUUCGGGCGUGGCAGAGUGGCGGCGGGGUCUGGGGAAGAGUUGUCUUGGGGGCAGCGCCAGCCACCAGAGCCCGAGUCAGCGCGGCCAGGACUCUGCAGGGGCAGGUAGCGACCCUUAGAGACGCAACGUGGCGCAGCGGACUCGGCUGCGUGGGGCAAGGGCCGGGGCCGGACACAGGAGCAGCGGGGAUGCCGGGUGCGCUCCGAGGGUGUGGCCCCCGGGCUGUGCGGGGCUCAGAGCUGCUUGCUGGGCGCGGUGCCCGACAAAGCUCCAUUUCUGGCCUUUGGUCUCUUUCUCGGAAAGCAGGCCUCAGUGGCCUCAGUUUCUUCCCAGAACCUGCAAUGCCCCACCAAGGUGACAAGAAGUGCAAGGAGUCGGUUUUCACUGCCAACCAAAGAGGUGACCCCCGCAAAGCAACCAUGUUGGGACAGUCCAUUUGCUGCGUUUUGAUUAUUUGCUAAGAGCAAAUACCUUUUCUGUUUGGGUUUUGCUUUUAGAAAAAAAAUGUGGCAGAUGGUGGUGGCUUUCCCCGUCAUUGAAAGAAGAAAGGUAGUAACUCUACUGGUGCACUCCUCUGAGUUGUGCUAACAAAGAAGAAUGCUGAAAGAAAAGGGAAAUGAACACCAUUUUCAGGCAGCUUCUCCAAGUUUUUUUGACAGUGUUAUAAUUUUCCUUUAGCGACUGUUGAAGCAAAUAUCUGUAUUUAUGUUCAGAUUAAACCGAGAGAGCAAAGACUGCUAAAGCCAGUAAUUUCUGGGCUGCAAAUGCAGGAUAGCUCCAGUGAAUUUCAGAUUCUUAAAGGUUUUUGCUGUAGCGAAUUCAUGACACAAAGCAUUUGGAGGGAAACCUAUUAGAGAAGAAACACAUCCUAAAUGAGAAUUACUGAGGACGGGAGGCUCUUGUCAUUUAUUGGAUUAGUUAUAGCACUUUACACAAGCCUGUAAUAUUUGUUCUGCUGCUGUGGUGUGACUGGUAAAAUGAAAAGGUAUGUCAAGGGAGUGCUUGACUGACGUUCUUAUUUCUUCCGUCUUCUUAUAUUGCUGGGAGGAUUCUACCACUGCAGGGCUAGAAAUUAAUAUCACACUCAUUUGAUAGGAAGAGCAAAAGCAAGGUUAUGAGUCAGAGACAUUUUGGUCCCAGAACAAUAACUCUAUUGAUUGAGUCAAAUAUGUUUAACUCCAACAGCAAGACCUUCCAUCUGCGUGAAAUAAUCAUGUCCGUUAAUUGUAAACAGGAGCAUCUUUGAAAGCUGAGCUAGAGGCGGAGCAACUGGUAAACCAGAUGUCCCAAAUUUCUAGGUUUGUACAUUGUAAUUGUUCUAGACUUGUGUGUGGAUAUUGGUAAAAUGACAUAGUCAGAUAUCUCACAGAUUUUGUGAGAUAUGUCCAAAGUUCCCAAGUUAAUUUAUUACUAAAGUUAGAAUUUCACUUACUGUGAGAUUGGAAUGCCAGCCAGCUACUGAACCUUAUGUGUGCCUAGGGGCCAUUUUGAGACAAUUUGCUGAAUAUUAAAAGUACAACCAAUAAUGUUUCUCUCCACAUCCACAAUAGCGCUUAGAGGAAGCAUCUGGGAUUGAGCCAUCUCACAUCUGUCUAAUCACAUUCAUUCAAAUGUGAUGGGCCCAACUGGCCUACGUACAUGGCUGCAUAUCACCAUGGGUGGAAAUUAAAUCAGAAUUUGGCUCAGGAGAGAGAUGAAGAGAAAAUGCACGUAGAUAAUUGGCUCAGAUAACAUUCUGUUUCUGGAAGUCACAAAGAGUGGAAAUUGGAAUAUGUAAAUUAAAGAAAAACAGGUAAGAAUUCACAUGAACCCCAACCACACACCCUGUGUAUGUUCUCAUUCUCAUUCUCUCUAUGGUGCCUGUGAGCAGUUGGAGUUUGAAUUUUUCAGUCAGUAAGGUUUGCUGUUUAUUCGAGGGCUGCUCCUAAAAAAUAAUCAGGUCUAGUCAAGAAUAUAGAAAAGUGAAAUUAUGCAUAUUUUCCUGGGGAAUAUAAUAGAUGUUCUCAUAGUCUUACAAUGUAAAAAAAAUGAAGGUAAGACUCUAGCUCCCUUUCUUCUAUCUUUCUGGCCUCAUUUUAGGCUAAUAUUUUCUUUUGCAACCAUAUACCAAAUUAUUACAUAUGGAAGCUGUGAAACUGAAGGUUCUGUAAAACUUUAAAGCCAGAGAACUUAUGACUCCUCCAUAUAGGAAGAGAAAUGGGAGAAUAUUAGGCUGUUUUUAAUACUGGGCAUCUGGUAUUUUUCAGUCCUUAAGAUCAAGUCCGCAAUGGAAGAAGAGCAUUCAUCUGGUACAGGUUGAUGAUUGUGUAAGCCCAAGGAGUGAUGUCAACACUGGGGUUCACCUGAGAACAUGGACAUGGUUGAUGAGGGUUUAGGAGAUGCUCAUACGAAGUCUUCAUAUGUUCCCUGGAUCCCAGCUCUGCCUUCCCACCAGAGAGGAUGUAAUUCAGCCGAGAUGCCCAGAGUCAGCUCUCUGCUCAUAUCUGUUCCGCACUGAAGCCAAUCAUCUGAGAAACCUAAGAAGUGUUUAAUGUAGUUAGGAAAGUGAGGGAUGAAGACCAUAAAUUCCUUUUCAUGUAGCAGAGUAUAUAUGUGAUACUCAUUCUGUGGUAUUUGGGGCAUAAACAAGAGUCGAUGAAGGAAUGUGAAAGUACUCGAAAUCCUGACUUUUAUCUCUAUAAAAAUGGCAUAGGGAUGAAACACACUUGGUUGUUAUGACUGUACUCUUUUCAGAUUUACUACUUGCCUUUCUACUGAUUUUUCUGUGCCACAGGUCUUGACUCCUGUAGGCUAAAUUUCUCAGCCUCUUCUGCUCACUGAUAUAUGGGAAGGUUUGGCCAAAGGUGGGUGACUGGUGGGGAGAAGGAUGAGGGAAUUCAGGGGAUUGCUGAGCCCAUUCUCUAGACAGUGCUGCUGGCACUGGCUCUGUCUUCUCCGUUUCCAUCUCGCAUCAGACGGUUCUUCCCUCUAUGGGCCUAGUCCUACCUAGACACUUUCCAGUUGGAUUCCAGUUCUGGGGAUGCUCCCUCCUGCAGGGAUCUAAGUCCUUCCCAUUGUCUUCGGCUCCUGGGCUCAGCUAGAACCAUCUUUUCCCAUUGUCCCUGUGGUGCUAGGGCUUUCAGUGGUUAUUAACGUCUGUGUUGUAUCAUCUUGCCUGAAUUUCAGCUCUCUGUAACCAGUUCCCCAAAUAAAAUUCCCCCCAUUUACCUACCUUCUGUGAGUCUGUUUGCCUGACAUGACCGUAUUAAGUAUACCCGAUAUAUUAGUGAGCUUCGGAUGAUAUCACAAUGUGCCGUAGACUGGGUGGCAUAAAAAACAAAGGAAUGUAUUUCUCAUUGUUCUGGAGCUGGGAAGUCCAAGAUAAAGGUGCUAGCCAAUUCUAUUUCUGAUGAGGGCUCUCUUCCUGGCUUGUGGAUGGCCACCUUGUCACUCUAU